Eriocheir sinensis (Chinese mitten crab) is the source of this 2074-nucleotide long non-coding RNA. RefSeq lists it as uncharacterized. The transcript has 5 exons. Lineage: Eukaryota; Metazoa; Arthropoda; Malacostraca; Decapoda; Varunidae. The record is from RefSeq and is a predicted model, not a curated record.
AAACCCGGGCAGGUGGAGGUCGUUAGCGAAAGCAGUUCAUCUAGGAGAGCAAACUCCGAUUACAAAACCGGGCAGGUGGAGGUCGUUAGCGUGAGCAGUUCACCUAGGAGAGCAAACUCCGAUUACAAACCCGGGCAGGUGGAGGUCGUUAGCGAAAGCAGUUCACCUAGGAGAGCAAACUCCGAUUACAAACCCGGGCAGGUGGGGUUCGUUAGCCCUGGUAGGCAAUUCACCUAGGAGAGCAAACUCCGAACAAUAAACCCGGGCAGGUUGGGCUCGUGAGCCGUCAUAGGUAAUACACCUAGGAGAGCAAACUCCGAACAAUAAACCCGGGCAGGUUGGGCUCGUGAGCCGUCAUAGGUAAUACACCUAGGAGAGCAAACUCCGAACAAUAAACCCGGGCAGGUUGGGCUCGUGAGCCGUCAUAGGUAAUACACCUAGGAGAGCAAACUCCGAUCAUAAAACCCGGGCAGGUGAGGUUCGUUAGCCGUGGUAGGCAAUUCACCUAGGAGAGCAAACUCCGAACAAUAAACCCGGGCAGGUGGAGGUCGUUAGCGAAAGCAGUUCAUCUAGGAGAGCAAACUCCGAUUACAAAACCGGGCAGGUGGAGGUCGUUAGCGUGAGCAGUUCACCUAGGAGAGCAAACUCCGAUUACAAACCCGGGCAGGUGGAGGUCGUUAGCGAAAGCAGUUCACCUAGGAGAGCAAACUCCGAUUACAAACCCGGGCAGGUUGGGCUCGUGAGCCGUCAUAGGUAAUACACCUAGGAGAGCAAACUCCGAACAAUAAACCCGGGCAGGUUGGGCUCGUGAGCCGUCAUAGGUAAUACACCUAGGAGAGCAAACUCCGAACAAUAAACCCGGGCAGGUUGGGCUCGUGAGCCGUCAUAGGUAAUACACCUAGGAGAGCAAACUCCGAACAAUAAACCCGGGCAGGUGGAGCUCGUCAGCCGUGGUGGGCAAUCUGCCUAGGAGAGCAAACUCCGAACAAUAAACCCGGGCAGGUGGAGCUCGUCAGCCGUGGUAGGCAGUCUGCCUAGGAGAGCAAACUCCGAACAAUAAACCCGGGCAGGUGGAGCUCGUCAGCCGUGGUAGGCAGUCUGCCUAGGAGAGCAAACUCCGAACAAUAAACCCGGGCAGGUGGAGCUCGUCAGCCGUGGUAGGCAGUCUGCCUAGGAGAGCAAACUCCGAACAAUAAACCGGGGCUUGUGGUGCUCGUUAGAUGUCGUAGACAAUCCACGUGAUGGGAACACCAAAGAAAAAUAAAAUAAAAAGGAACACCAGAAAAAGGAAAAUAUAGUAACAAAACAUCAAGAAAAUAAAAUAAAAAACACAGAUCAUCCACCUUCAGGCCCUAACAUCUCCAAAAUUAUGGGUGAGUCUUUUCUGGGGAGAAAGAGGCUCAUCCAGACCAAAGAACAUAAAAAAGGGAUGAUAUAGAAAGGAACACCAAAAAAUGGGAAAAAGAGAAAAAAACAUCGCAAAAGAAAAGUAACAACAAUAACAGAACAACGUCAAGAAAAGUAACAUACAAAGAAACAUCAUCCACCAUUCGGCCCCAAACUAACAUCACCAAAAUUAUGGGUGGGUCUUUUCUGGGGAGAAAGAGGCUCAUCCAGACCAAAGAACAUCAAAGAGGGAUGAUAUAGAGAAGAACACCAAGAAAUAGGGGAAAAAAGAGCAAAAAAACAUCGCAAAAGAAAAGUAACAGCAAUAACAGAACAUCAAGAAAAGUAACAUACAGAGAAACAUCAUCCACCAUUCGGCCCCAAACUAACAUCACCAAAAUUAUGGGUGGGUCUCUUCUGGGAGGAAAGCGGCUCACCCAGACCAAUGAACAUCAACAAGAGGAUGAUAUGAAAUAAAAGAACAUCAAAAAAGAAAAACAACAGCAAGAAAACAAAGAAAAAGAUAAAGAAAAGAAAAAGAAAAAGAAACAAAAAGAAAAAGAAAAACACCAAAAUAAAAUAAAACAAAAACAAAAAAAAUAAUCCAAAUAAAUAAAUAAAUAAACAAAUACAGAAUACAGUAAAAUUAACGAACUAACUAACUAAUUCAAACUGUCUAACUAUUAAA